This 468-nucleotide ribosomal RNA is filed under the name uncultured bacterium. RNAcentral's name for it is "partial 16S ribosomal RNA". It matches the Rfam family "Bacterial small subunit ribosomal RNA", at positions 28 to 507 of the family's 1533-position model. The record is from RNAcentral.
GACGAACGCUGGCGGCGUGCUUAACACAUGCAAGUCGAACGGAAAGGCCCUGCUUUUGUGGGGUGCUCGAGUGGCGAACGGGUGAGUAACACGUGAGUAACCUGCCCUUGACUUUGGGAUAACUUCAGGAAACUGGGGCUAAUACCGGAUAGGAGCUCCUGCUGCAUGGUGGGGGUUGGAAAGUUUCGGCGGUUGGGGAUGGACUCGCGGCUUAUCAGCUUGUUGGUGGGGUAGUGGCUUACCAAGGCUUUGACGGGUAGCCGGCCUGAGAGGGUGGCCGGCCACAUUGGGACUGAGAUACGGCCCAGACUCCUACGGGAGGCAGCAGUGGGGAAUAUUGCACAAUGGGCGGAAGCCUGAUGCAGCAACGCCGCGUGCGGGAUGACGGCCUUCGGGUUGUAAGCCGCUUUCGCCUGUGACGAAGCGUGAGUGACGGUAAUGGGUAAAGAAGCACCGGCUAACUACGUG